UAAUCCAAGAAUUUCACCUCCAACAGUUAAAUACGAAUACCCCCAACUAUCCUUAUUGUGAUUACUCUAGUCCAACAAACCAACAGCAUUGAACCAAGAGUCCUGUGCUAUUAUUCCAUGCUAUCAUAUUCACGGCGAUUGCCUGCUUGGAACACUCUCAUUUCCUCAAAGUAAAAAUUCAGAUCAUGUGGUCACACAGUGAAGUGCAUCCACCCUCCCUGAACGAAUGCGAGCAGAGUUCCGUGUAAUCUUCACUGGGAAGGACCGAAACCCGCUCACAGAUAUCCAACUACGAGCGUUUUAACCGCAACAAUUUUAAUAUACGCUAUUGGAGCUGGAAUUACCGC
This 347-nucleotide unclassified non-coding RNA is filed under the name uncultured bacterium. RNAcentral's name for it is "contains 16S-23S intergenic spacer region". The record is from RNAcentral.